RNAcentral lists this ribosomal RNA (347 nucleotides) under Episcopomantis chalybea. RNAcentral describes it as "partial 16S ribosomal RNA". Lineage: Eukaryota; Metazoa; Arthropoda; Insecta; Mantodea; Eremiaphilidae. The record is from RNAcentral.
GGCCGCAGUAUUUUGRCUGNGCAAAGGUAGCAUAAUAAUUAGUCUUUUAAUUGAAGGCUUGUAUGAAUGAUUGGACGAGGCAAAUACUGUUUUAUAUAAAUUAUUAUUGAAUUUAGGUUUUAAGUAAAAAAACUUAAAUAUAAUUAAGGGACGAGAAGACCCUAUAGAGUUUAAUAAAUUAUCUAAUUAAUUGAGUUAAAAUUUAAUUUUUGGUUAUUAUUAAAUUUAUUUAAUUGGGGUGAUUAAAGAAUAAUUAAAACUUUUUUUUAAACUUUAUAUUAUAAGUAAUUAUAUGAUCCAUUAAUUAAUGAUUAAAAGAUUAAAUUCCCUUAGGGAUAACAGCAUAA